GCAGAUAUAGCAAGAGGCGACAUUGAAACUCGAAAGCGGAAGGAGCUCGCCAAGGAGGUAUUAGAAAUGAAAGAGGCUGCUGCUGCUGCUGAGGCCCAGAAACGGGCUCGAGUAGAAGUGACAAGCUCCUCAGUCCGAACUCCAGAGCAACCAGUUCAGGAAACGCCGGUCCUAGCUAUGGAGCCUUCCACUCAACUCGCUGAGCCUCCUUCCCAUCUCUCGGUCAUCUCAGCUUCAGAAGGCAGAUCCUCAGGGCAGACAAUCACGUCUGGGCAACCACUCUCCAGAGGUGCCCA
RNAcentral lists this unclassified non-coding RNA (296 nucleotides) under Hevea brasiliensis (rubber tree). The record is from RNAcentral. Lineage: Eukaryota; Viridiplantae; Streptophyta; Magnoliopsida; Malpighiales; Euphorbiaceae.